AAUCAGUUGAGGUCCCACCGCCCUGCUGUCGGCGUCCCUACAGUGAGAAGCUCAAGGCAUUACAGAGGCGCUCCCUUUUAAGUCAAGCACGAGGAGAAUGUUUUCCUCCCAGACAGGUCAUUGGUGUGUGGAAUUCUCAUCCCCAGAAAGACCAUUUACCGAGUCUGCUCUGUUGCUCGGUGGGACUUCCUCUGUAGAAGAUGAUAACUGCUCGCCACCGAACAAGGAUGUGAAUGCAGAGAGUGUGAUACAUCUGAGGACUCCUUGAGGGACUGGGCUCUUAUCCGAGGCGGAGGUUUUAUCAAAUGUUGUUCAUUCGAAAUUUUGUAGUAUAAUGCAGAUUUUAAAUCCGUUCACCAUUUUAACUCCAACAAUUGUGGUAAUCCCCCUAAUGAUGCCCCUGUUAAACAAGAAGGCAGCGAAGUUCAUGUUAGGAACAUUCGAUGAUUUUAAUGUCACUUUUAAGAUUCACUAACCCUGUAUUCAAUUUAAAUUUGUGAUGAAACUUUAAAUCCUAUUACUAGUUUUCGGAGACAUGUUAAGCGUAAACAUUAGGACUUCUAGGCUUUUGGUUAUCUGCAGUAAGUGUGAAAAGCCUGUCCAAGUACUGCCUCGCCGCACAUUAUUAUGCAAAAUGUAAAGGGAGCAGGUUAGAGGGCAGAGCCAUUGUGGCCUUUAAUUGUUCCAGGUAAGAGAGAGCCUCCAGACACAGCGAGGACCCAGCCCACACAAAGUCCCCGUGCACUCCAGAUUAUCAAACCAGGAAAGAAUAGCUGCCCUGGAUCGAGUCACGAGUGGGAGAAGAAAUGUUGCAACUCCUCCAUUUAGCAGAAGAAUUCGCUGGAUGCAAGAAUACUAACGUAAUGACAGCCGGAAUAUAUUAGUAACUAAAAGCUUUCCGGGGAGGCACAGCGGUACUGUCACUGGGCUGGUAAUCGAGAGGACCCAGGGUAGUGCCCUGGGGACGUGGGUGCGGGUACACAGAAUGGGAGAUGAUGAAAUUUUAGUUCAAUCAGCAGAAAUCUGGAAUUAUAAAGUCUGCUGGUGACCUUGAAGCCAUUUAACUUAGAAAGAAUCUGUGGCUUAAGAUGCUCUGUGUUUUAUCUUCGGUGUGCAUACCAAGGCUUUCAUGUAAUUUCCUGUCACAAAUGGGUUGAAGUAUAGGUUGAGCACCACAGUUUUUGUACCUGGGGGCACUCCUUGUCACACACAAACAAGAAUUUAAACACAAACAUUUGGGGGAGAUGGUGGUGGUAACUAGUAACCCAGAGGCCCAGGCUAAUGCUCUGGGGGACACGGGUUCAAAUCCCACCAGGGCAGCUGGUGGAAUUUAAAUAAAAAAAUCAAUGAAUCAAUCUGGUUUAGUGAAACCAGUGUUAGUUGUUGUAAAAACCCAUCUGGAUUGCUAAUGCCCUGAAGGGAAGGAAAUCUGCUGUCCUUACCUGGUCUGACCUCCAUGUGACUCCCGAUCCACAAUAACGUGGAUGUGGUUGACUCUUAAUCUGCUGUCCUUAUCUGGUCUGGACUACAUGUGACUCCAGAUCCACACUAAUGUGGAUGUGGUUGACUCUUAAUCUGCUGUCCUUAUCUGGUCUGGCCUGCAUAUGACUCCAGAUCCACACUAAUGGUUGACUCUUAAACGUCCUCUGAACAAGGGCAAUUAGGGAUGGGCAAUAAACGCUGGCCUAGCCCGCGGUGCCCACAUCCCAUGAAUGGAUAAACAAACCACCAAAAUGACUAAGCUUAGGCGUAAAUUUUAAUCUUGAAGCAGGUCACGCAAAUUUACCUGAACUUAACCACAUCUUCAAAGAUGCGGAGACAAAGUGGUUCCUCAAAGAACACAGAAGAAGAAUUCAUUUUAAAUAGGGGUAAUUUAAUGACUAGUGAUACAGAGCCUAGAGAUAUUAACGAUGACAAGAUUGAUACUGUAACAUUAAAAUGAAUAUAAGCGACAAGCUAAUUGAUAGUGACAAACAGGGUGUUAAUAAACAACAAAAUCGGACGUGUGAUUG
Carcharodon carcharias (great white shark) is the source of this 2012-nucleotide long non-coding RNA. RefSeq lists it as uncharacterized. The transcript is spliced from 2 exons. NCBI's taxonomy places the organism in Eukaryota, Metazoa, Chordata, Chondrichthyes, Lamniformes, Lamnidae. The record is from RefSeq and is a predicted model, not a curated record.